AGUGAACGCUGGCGGUAGGCCUAACACAUGCAGGUCGAACGGCAGCACAGUAAGAGCUUGCUCUUACGGGUGGCGAGUGGCGGACGGGUGAGGAAUACAUCGGAAUCUACUUUUUCGUGGGGGAUAACGUAGGGAAACUUACGCUAAUACCGCAUACGACCUACGGGUGAAAGCAGGGGAUCUUCGGACCUUGCGCGAUUGAAUGAGCCGAUGUCGGAUUAGCUAGUUGGCGGGGUAAAGGCCCACCAAGGCGACGAUCCGUAGCUGGUCUGAGAGGAGGAUCAGCCACACUGGAACUGAGACACGGUCCAGACUCCUACGGGAGGCAGCAGUGGGGAAUAUCGGACAAUGGGCGCAAGCCUGAUACAGCCAUACCGCGUGGGUGAAGAAGGCCUUCGGGUUGUAAAGCCCUUUUGUGGGGAAAGAAAAGCAGCAGGUUAAUACCCCGCUGUUCUGACGGUACCCAAAGAAUAAGCACCGGCUAACUUCGUG
RNAcentral lists this ribosomal RNA (492 nucleotides) under uncultured bacterium. RNAcentral describes it as "partial 16S ribosomal RNA". It matches the Rfam family "Bacterial small subunit ribosomal RNA", at positions 29 to 507 of the family's 1533-position model. The record is from RNAcentral.